GACGAACGCUGGCGGCGUGCCUAAUACAUGCAAGUUGAGCGCUGAAGGUUGGUACUUGUACCGACUGGAUGAGCAGCGCACGGGUGAGUAACGCGUGGGGAAUCUGCCUUUGAGCGGGGGACAACAUUUGGAAACGAAUGCUAAUACCGCAUAAAAACUUUAAACACAAGUUUUAAGUUUGAAAGAUGCAAUUGCAUCACUCAAAGAUGAUCCCGCGUUGUAUUAGCUAGUUGGUGAGGGAAAGGCUCACCAAGGCGUUGAUACAUAGCCGACCUGAGAGGGUGGUCGGCCACAUUGGGACGGAGACACGGCCCAAACUCCUACGGGAGGCAGCAGUAGGGAAUCCUCGGCGAUGGACGAAAGUCUGACCGAGCAACGCCGCGUGAGUGAAGAAGGGUUUCGGAUCGUAAAACUCUGUUGGUAGGGAAGAACGUUGGUGAGAGUGGAAAGCUCAUCAAGUGACGGUAACUACGCAGAAAGGGACGGCUAACUACGUG
Molecule: ribosomal RNA, 497 nt
Filed under: uncultured bacterium
Lineage: Bacteria
Description: partial 16S ribosomal RNA
Rfam family: Bacterial small subunit ribosomal RNA
Source: RNAcentral